GUGGGGAAUAUUGGACAAUGGGCGAAAGCCUGAUCCAGCCAUGCCGCGUGUGUGAAGAAGGUCUUCGGAUUGUAAAGCACUUUCAGUUGGGAGGAAGGGCAGUAAGUUAAUACCUUGCUGUUUUGACGUUACCGACAGAAUAAGCACCGGCUAACUUCGUGCCAGCAGCCGCGGUAAUACGAAGGGUGCAAGCGUUAAUCGGAAUUACUGGGCGUAAAGCGCGAGUAGUUGGUGUUGUAAGUUGGAGGUGAAAUCCCCGGGCUCAACCUGGGAACUGCCUCCAAAACUGCAUGACUAGAGUACGGUAGAGGGUAGUGGAAUUUCCUGUGUAGCGGUGAAAUGCGUAGAUAUAGGAAGGAACACCAGUGGCGAAGGCGACUACCUGGACUGAUACUGACACUGAGGUGCGAAAGCGUGGGGAGCAAACAGGAUUAGAUACCCUAGUAGUCC
Molecule: ribosomal RNA, 450 nt
Filed under: uncultured bacterium
Lineage: Bacteria
Description: partial 16S ribosomal RNA
Rfam family: Bacterial small subunit ribosomal RNA
Source: RNAcentral